AUUGAACGCUGGCGGCAGGCCUAACACAUGCCAGUCGAGCGAGCGGCGGACGGGUGAGUAAUGUAUGGGGACUGCCCGAUAGAGGGGGCUAACUACUGGAAACGGUGGCUACUACCGCAUACUCUCGGAUAACCCAUAUGGGAUUAGCUAGUAGGUGGGGUAAAGGCUCUCCUAGGCGACGAUCUCUAGCUGGGCUGAGAGGAUGAUCAGCCACACUGGGACUUAGAAACGGCCCAGACGCCUACGGAGUCAGCAGGGGGGAAUAUUGCACAAUGGGCGCAAGCCUGAUGCAGACAUGCCGCGUGUAGGAAGAAGGCCUUAGGGUUGUAAAGUACGUUCAGCGGGGAGGCGUGACCCGAAGAAGAAGCACCGGCUAACUCCGUGCCAGCCGCCGCGGUAAUUC
Molecule: ribosomal RNA, 403 nt
Filed under: uncultured bacterium
Lineage: Bacteria
Description: partial 16S ribosomal RNA
Rfam family: Bacterial small subunit ribosomal RNA
Source: RNAcentral